GGGCCCGCACAAGCGGUGGAGCAUGUGGCUUAAUUCGAGGCAACGCGAAGAACCUUACCUGGUCUUGACAUGCCCGUCAUAGUUUUCCGAAAGGAAUUCGUCAGUUCGGCUGGACGGUGCACAGGUGCUGCAUGGCUGUCGUCAGCUCGUGUCGUGAGAUGUUCGGUUAAGUCCGGCAACGAGCGCAACCCUCGUUCCUAGUUGCCAGCGGGUAAUGCCGGGGACUCUAGGAAGACAAACCUCGUGUAGAGGUGGGAAGGUGGGGACGACGUCAAGUCAGUAUGGCCCUUACGACCAGGGCUGCACACGUGCUACAAUGCCUGGCACAAUGGGAUGCAAUACCGCGAGGUUGAGCAAAUCCACAAACCAGGCCCAGUUCGGAUUGGAGUCUGCAACUCGACUCCAUGAAGUUGGAAUCGCUAGUAAUGG
Molecule: ribosomal RNA, 429 nt
Filed under: uncultured bacterium
Lineage: Bacteria
Description: bacterial SSU rRNA
Rfam family: Bacterial small subunit ribosomal RNA
Source: RNAcentral